This 315-nucleotide ribosomal RNA is filed under the name Pseudoduganella buxea. RNAcentral describes it as "bacterial SSU rRNA". It matches the Rfam family "Bacterial small subunit ribosomal RNA", at positions 1 to 313 of the family's 1533-position model. Lineage: Bacteria; Pseudomonadati; Pseudomonadota; Betaproteobacteria; Burkholderiales; Oxalobacteraceae. The record is from RNAcentral.
AGAUUAAACUGAAGAGUUUGAUCCUGGCUCAGAUUGAACGCUGGCGGCAUGCUUUACACAUGCAAGUCGAACGGUAACAGGGAGCUUGCUCCGCUGACGAGUGGCGAACGGGUGAGUAAUAUAUCGGAACGUACCCAAGAGUGGGGGAUAACGUAGCGAAAGUUACGCUAAUACCGCAUACGAUCUAAGGAUGAAAGCAGGGGACCGCAAGGCCUUGUGCUCCUGGAGCGGCCGAUAUCUGAUUAGCUAGUUGGUAGGGUAAAGGCCUACCAAGGCAUCGAUCAGUAGCUGGUCUGAGAGGACGACCAGCCACAC